Long non-coding RNA from Anneissia japonica, 261 nucleotides. RefSeq lists it as uncharacterized. The transcript is spliced from 2 exons. NCBI's taxonomy places the organism in Eukaryota, Metazoa, Echinodermata, Crinoidea, Comatulida, Comatulidae. The record is from RefSeq and is a predicted model, not a curated record.
CUGCCAAAGUAAUCAAACAAUAUAGAUUCGCAGGAAUUUUGACAUUUCUUACGCCGUACUUACAACAGAAGGAGACUUCAAGUAACCUCGAUGUAGAACCAGCCAACACUGAAAUAAGUGAUGAGGAAACUUUCGACAGCAUUGUAGACAACAUAACAGAAGAAAGUUUUUGAUUUGAUUAUAAUGAUGAUGAUUACCACCAAUCGCAACAGCCCCAUGAGCAGCAACAACAACAACCACAGCAGAUGCAACAAAAAAAAA